UGUUCUAUAGGCUCGUACAACCGUAUCCUUGAUUGCAAAGGAGACGAGCAACUCAGUCUGUCAGACAACCUCAGGG
Non-coding RNA from Phoenix dactylifera (date palm), 76 nucleotides. NCBI's taxonomy places the organism in Eukaryota, Viridiplantae, Streptophyta, Magnoliopsida, Arecales, Arecaceae. The record is from RefSeq and is a predicted model, not a curated record.